Molecule: ribosomal RNA, 207 nt
Filed under: uncultured bacterium
Lineage: Bacteria
Description: partial 16S ribosomal RNA
Rfam family: Bacterial small subunit ribosomal RNA
Source: RNAcentral
CUCGUAGGCGGUUCGUCACGUCGGGAGUGAAACUCGGGGCUUAACCCCGAGCCUGCUUCCGAUACGGGCAGACUAGAGGUAGGCAGGGGGAGAGCGGAACUCCUGGUGUAGCGGUGGAAUGCGCAGAUAUCAGGAAGAACACCGGUGGCGAAGGCGGCUCUCUGGGCCUUACCUGACGCUGAGGAGCGAAAGCGUGGGUAGCGAACA